GAGUUUGAUCCUGGCUCAGAUUGAACGCUGGCGGCAGGCUUAACACAUGCAAGUCGAGCGGAGAGAGGUAGCUUGCUACUGAUCUUAGCGGCGGACGGGUGAGUAAUGCUUAGGAAUCUGCCUAUUAGUGGGGGACAACAUUUCGAAAGGAAUGCUAAUACCGCAUACGUCCUACGGGAGAAAGCAGGGGAUCUUCGGACCUUGCGCUAAUAGAUGAGCCUAAGUCGGAUUAGCUAGUUGGUGGGGUAAAGGCCUACCAAGGCGACGAUCUGUAGCGGGUCUGAGAGGAUGAUCCGCCACACUGGGACUGAGACACGGUUCAGACUCCUACGGGAGGCAGCAGUGGGGAAUAUUGGACAAUGGGCGCAAGCCUGAUCCAGCCAUGCCGCGUGUGUGAAGAAGGCCUUAUGGUUGUAAAGCACUUUAAGCGAGGAGGAGGCUACUUUAGUUAAUACCUAGAGAUAGUGGACGUUACUCGCAGAAUAAGCACCGGCUAACUCUGUGCCAGCAGCCGCGGUAAUACAGAGGGUGCAAGCGUUAAUCGGAUUUACUGGGCGUAAAGCGCGCGUAGGCGGCUAAUUAAGUCAAAUGUGAAAUCCCCGAGCUUAACUUGGGAAUUGCAUUCGAUACUGGUUAGCUAGAGUGUGGGAGAGGAUGGUAGAAUUCCAGGUGUAGCGGUGAAAUGCGUAGAGAUCUGGAGGAAUACCGAUGGCGAAGGCAGCCAUCUGGCCUAACACUGACGCUGAGGUGCGAAAGCAUGGGGAGCAAACAGGAUUAGAUACCCUGGUAGUCCAUGCCGUAAACGAUGUCUACUAGCCGUUGGGCCCUUUGAGGCUUUAGUGGCGCAGCUAACGCGAUAAGUAGACCGCCUGGGGAGUACGGUCGCAAGACUAAAACUCAAAUGAACUGACGGGGGCCCGCACAAGCGGUGGAGCAUGUGGUUUAAUUCGAUGCAACGCGAAGAACCUUACCUGGCCUUGACAUAGUAAGAACUUUCCAGAGAUGGAUUGGUGCCUUCGGGAACUUACAUACAGGUGCUGCAUGGCUGUCGUCAGCUCGUGUCGUGAGAUGUUGGGUUAAGUCCCGCAACGAGCGCAACCCUUUUCCUUAUUUGCCAGCGAGUAAUGUCGGGAACUUUAAGGAUACUGCCAGUGACAAACUGGAGGAAGGCGGGGACGACGUCAAGUCAUCAUGGCCCUUACGGCCAGGGCUACACACGUGCUACAAUGGUCGGUACAAAGGGUUGCUACCUAGCGAUAGGAUGCUAAUCUCAAAAAGCCGAUCGUAGUCCGGAUUGGAGUCUGCAACUCGACUCCAUGAAGUCGGAAUCGCUAGUAAUCGCGGAUCAGAAUGCCGCGGUGAAUACGUUCCCGGGCCUUGUACACACCGCCCGUCACACCAUGGGAGUUUGUUGCACCAGAAGUAGCUAGCCUAACUGCAAAGAGGGCGGUUACCACGGUGUGGCCGAUGACUGGGGUGAAGUCGUAACAAGGUAACCG
This 1499-nucleotide ribosomal RNA is filed under the name Acinetobacter sp. mixed culture X2-1. RNAcentral's name for it is "bacterial SSU rRNA". It matches the Rfam family "Bacterial small subunit ribosomal RNA". The record is from RNAcentral. Lineage: Bacteria; Pseudomonadati; Pseudomonadota; Gammaproteobacteria; Moraxellales; Moraxellaceae.